AGAGUUUGAUCCUGGCUCAGAUUGAACGCUGGCGGCAUGCCUUACACAUGCAAGUCGAACGGUAACAGGUCUUCGGAUGCUGACGAGUGGCGAACGGGUGAGUAAUAUAUCGGAACGUGCCCAGUCGUGGGGGAUAACGCAGCGAAAGCUGUGCUAAUACCGCAUACGAUCUAUGGAUGAAAGCGGGGGAUCGCAAGACCUCGCGCGAUUGGAGCGGCCGAUAUCAGAUUAGGUAGUUGGUGGGGUAAAGGCCCACCAAGCCAACGAUCUGUAGCUGGUCUGAGAGGACGACCAGCCACACGGGAACUGAGACACGGUCCAGACUCCUACGGGAGGCAGCAGUGGGGAAUUUUGGACAAUGGGCGCAAGCCUGAUCCAGCAAUGCCGCGUGCAGGAUGAAGGCCUUCGGGUUGUAAACUGCUUUUGUACGGAACGAAAAGGCUCUGGUUAAUACCUGGGGCUCAUGACGGUACCGUAAGAAUAAGCACCGGCUAACUACGUGCCAGCAGCCGCGGUAAUACGUAGGGUGCAAGCGUUAAUCGGAAUUACUGGGCGUAAAGCGUGCGCAGGCGGUUAUAUAAGUCAGAUGUGAAAUCCCCGGGCUCAACCUGGGACCUGCAUUUG
Molecule: ribosomal RNA, 624 nt
Filed under: uncultured bacterium
Lineage: Bacteria
Description: bacterial SSU rRNA
Rfam family: Bacterial small subunit ribosomal RNA
Source: RNAcentral